GACGAACGCUGGCGGCGUGCUUAACACAUGCAAGUCGAACGGAAAGGCCCUGCUUUUGUGGGGUGCUCGAGUGGCGAACGGGGGAGGAACACGUGAGUAACCGGCCCUUGACUUUGGGAGAACUUCAGGAAACGGGGGCUAAUACCGGAUAGGAGCUCCUGCUGCAGGGUGGGGGUGGGAAAGUUUCGGCGGUUGGGGAUGGACUCGCGGCUGAUCAGCUUGUUGGUGGGGGAGUGGCUUACCAAGGCUUUGACGGGUAGCCGGCCUGAGAGGGUGACCGGCCACAUUGGGCCUGAGAUACGGCCCAGACUCCUACGGGAGGCAGCAGUGGGGAAUAUUGCACAAUGGGCGGAAGCCUGAUGCAGCAACGCCGCGUGCGGGAUGCCGGCCUUCGGGUUGUAAACCGCAUUCGCCUGUGACGACGCGUGAGUGACGGUAAUGGGUAAAGAAGCACCGGCUAACUACGUG
RNAcentral lists this ribosomal RNA (468 nucleotides) under uncultured bacterium. RNAcentral's name for it is "partial 16S ribosomal RNA". It matches the Rfam family "Bacterial small subunit ribosomal RNA", at positions 28 to 507 of the family's 1533-position model. The record is from RNAcentral.